This 492-nucleotide ribosomal RNA is filed under the name uncultured bacterium. RNAcentral's name for it is "partial 16S ribosomal RNA". It matches the Rfam family "Bacterial small subunit ribosomal RNA", at positions 29 to 507 of the family's 1533-position model. The record is from RNAcentral.
AGUGAACGCUGGCGGUAGGCCUAACACAUGCAAGUCGAACGGCAGCACAGUAAGAGCUUGCUCUUACGGGUGGCGAGUGGCGGACGGGUGAGGAAUACAUCGGAAUCUUCUUUUUCGUGGGGGAUAACGUAGGGAAACUUACGCUAAUACCGCAUACGACCUACGGGUGAAAGCAGGGGAUCUUCGGACCUUGCGCGAUUGAAUGAGCCGAUGUCGGAUUAGCUAGUUGGCGGGGUAAAGGCCCACCAAGGCGACGAUCCGUAGCUGGUCUGAGAGGAUGAUCAGCCACACUGGAACUGAGACACGGUCCAGACUCCUACGGGAGGCAGCAGUGGGGAAUAUUGGGCAAUGGGCGCAAGCCUGAUCCAGCCAUACCGCGUGGGUGAAGAAGGCCUUCGGGUUGUAAAGCCCUUUUGUUGGGAAAGAAAAGCAGCAGGUUAAUACCCCGCUGUUCUGACGGUACCCAAAGAAUAAGCACCGGCUAACUUCGUG